Molecule: long non-coding RNA, 2235 nt
Filed under: Equus caballus (horse)
Lineage: Eukaryota; Metazoa; Chordata; Mammalia; Perissodactyla; Equidae
Description: lncRNA (ENSECAG00000054074.1)
Source: RNAcentral
UACUUGUCUUCUAACAUUAUCUUUAAGUUCCUGGAAGGCAGAAAGUGUGUGCUACCCUGCUUGAAUGUCCCACAACGCCUAGCAAAGGACAAUGUAAACGGCAGGCCCUGAAAAAAUCAGAGAAAGGACAUGACAUCGUUCAGUCGUUUGUUAAUAACAUAACUAAUAAUAUGACUUGCUAUUAUUAAGCUUGUCAUAGGCUGCAGAGAACAAGACAGACACGGGAAUUGCGUUCCAAACUGCAAGACUCAGAGAACUCAGCAAGAGUAAGGAAUCCCUCUUGGGAAAGAUACUCUGGUUGUAUGGGAGGUUGGAAGACCCCCAGGUGAAAACCUGGAGGCGGGCGGAACUGUCGGACUGCUGGCAGCCGGGAAGGGUUUCCCCAACGCUCUGGGCUGGCCCAGCGGAAGUAGGGGGAGGCGGGGGGCGGUGCACCGGGCUGCCAGGAGCUUGUCACGCGACGUCCUCUUCUUGUCGCCGACAACAAUCCCAGCCUCCUCUGGAAGUCGCUUUUGCGCCAAAGGACUGAAGUCCUGCGGUGCCUGCGCCCGCGCUUCGCUGUGCGGACCGGGCGGCGCCGGAAAGCGGCGCGGGGAGGGAAGGGCGGCUUCGGAAGCCGGGGAUCCCGCCCGCCUACCGGGCUUUGGGCCACUUUGCAGCCGGCGACGGGCACGCGCAGACCCGUUCUCCCGGCCGAGGUGCCCCCCGUCUGCAGAGCGGGGUUUUCUGAUGGAGAUGGGGCUGUGUGCAGGCGUGUGGGGAGCCCUGGGCGGUGCCUGUCUGAAAAUCGGCUGUUAAAGUGACAAAUCAAAAUGGCUAGAAGCUGAUUGCUGCGCUCACCUGUGACCUCCCAGCUGGAGACAAUAGACUUGCCUCCUGCUACGCCCACCAAGGUCUGAGCUUGUUCAUCUGGAAGAAAAGAAGGCUGGACUAGAGCAGUGGUUCUCAAACUGGUCCCCAGACCAGCAACAUCAGCAUCACUGGGAACUUGUCAGAAAUGUAGAUUAUCAGGCCCCCCUUAGACCUAGUAAAUCAGAAACUCAGUGGUGAGCCCAGCAAUCUGUCUCUUAACAAGCCCUCCACGAGAUUCUGAUUUAUGCUCAAGUUUGAGAACUGCUGGACUAGAUGGUCUGGAGAAUCUCUCGGAAAAAAGAGCGCUCAUACUUCUUAGCUGGCUCAUAAGGUCCUCACUAAUCUGGUGCCCCUCUAACUGCCCAGUCUCUUAAGUCAACAGGCCUCUGCAUCUGCAUAAAACUACAAAAAUGUCCUUACAGAGACUUGCUCUUUGAAACUCUGUGUCUUUACAUGUGCUGUUCCUUCUUCCUGAAAUAACCUUUUUCUUCCACUACCUGUCUGUCUCCUAUCUGUCCUUCAACACUUGUUUGAGUGGUCACCUCUUCUAGGAAGACCUUCUAAUACCUCCCUUCUCAGGUCAGGUGUCUCCCCUCUGUGCUCUUCUAGCACUUUAUAAACGUCUCUGUUAUAUCGUUUGCCACCUUUAUCUGGUGCCCCACCGGACAGAGCUAGGUGUGGCCAGAAACUAUUUUAUUUCUGAACACUCAGGGCCUGCCACAAUGCCAGCCACAUAGUAUGUCCUCAGUAAACGUCAUGGCAUGAGUGAUUGAGUGGAUGACUUGCAUCCUCGUGUCAACUACCUGAAGGCUCAGAUGAUGACUUUUGAUUCUUGUUCAUCAUCUCGUAAUCAUUGAUAGUUAAUGUUUUUCAUAUUAUAAAUCCCAAUGAUUGUCUGAUCAUCAAUGCUAACUACUGUUAGUAAUGCUUUAUAGCAUAUUGCAUAAUCCAAGUUCUGUCAGAUCUGUUAGUCCACUUGAGCCUGUCAGCAAUCUAGUGAACUAGGUUAGAGCAGGUAUUAUUUUCAUGAUUUUAACAGCUGAGAAAACCACUCACAGAUACUAAAUGGCUUUCCUUGAUUAUCUAUUUCUGCUAACAUUAUUUUGUAUGUCCUCUGUGCAAGGCAUUGUGAUAGAAAAUGAGAAAUACAAAAGCUAGUAAGGACAUAAUCCUUGUCCUCCAGAAACCUAUAUUCUAGGAAAAAUUAAAACUUAUCCUCCAAGGGGCCAGCCCUGUGGCAGAGUGGUUGGGUUCCUGUGCUCUGCUUCAGCGGCCCAGGGUUUGCCAGUUCAGAUCUUGGUCGUGGACCUACACACCACUCAUCAGACCAUGCUGUGCCAGCAUCCCAGAUGGAAGAGCUAGAAUGGCCUGCAACUGGGAUAU